GCAAAACGCGAAGAACCUUACCUAGGCUUGACAUGCAUCUCUAAGCGCGUGAAAGCGCGUGACCCUUCCGGGGGAUUUGCACAGGUGCUGCAUGGCCGUCGUCAGCUCGUGUCGUGAGAUGUUGGGUUAAGUCCCGCAACGAGCGCAACCCUUGUGAACAGUUGCCAGCACUUAAGGUGGGAACUCUGUUCAGACUGCCCAGAUCAACUGGGAGGAAGGUGGGGACGACGUCAGGUCAGUAUGGCCCUUACGCCUAGGGCUGCACACGUACUACAAUGCCCAGCACAAUGAGAACCGAGACCGCGAGGUGGAGGAAAUCUAAAAACUGGGCCCAGUUCGGAUUGGAGGCUGCAACUCGCCUCCAUGAAGUUGGAAUCGCUAGUAAUGGCGCAUCAGCUACGGCGCCGUGAAUACGUUCCCGGGUCUUGUACACACCG
This 437-nucleotide ribosomal RNA is filed under the name uncultured bacterium. Its description in RNAcentral is "bacterial SSU rRNA". It matches the Rfam family "Bacterial small subunit ribosomal RNA", at positions 954 to 1392 of the family's 1533-position model. The record is from RNAcentral.